GUAAAUAUAGUUUAUCAAAAUGUUAGACCGUGAUUCUAAAGAUAGAAGCAAGACCUUCUUAUUUACC
RNAcentral lists this transfer RNA (67 nucleotides) under Lacerta viridis viridis. Its description in RNAcentral is "transfer RNA-His". It matches the Rfam family "tRNA". From Rfam's summary of the family: Transfer RNA (tRNA) molecules are approximately 80 nucleotides in length. Lineage: Eukaryota; Metazoa; Chordata; Lepidosauria; Squamata; Lacertidae. The record is from RNAcentral.